This 387-nucleotide ribosomal RNA is filed under the name Rotifera sp. RNAcentral describes it as "partial small subunit ribosomal RNA". It matches the Rfam family "Eukaryotic small subunit ribosomal RNA", at positions 582 to 975 of the family's 1831-position model. The record is from RNAcentral. Lineage: Eukaryota; Metazoa; Rotifera.
AUUCCAGCUCCAAUAAGGAAAACUAAAGUUGCUGUGUUUAAAAAGCUCGUAGUUGAAUUUCGGGUAUUUGUUGCCAGCUGGUCUAACUGACCAUGUUGGUUAACAGAUCCUCACUUGCUGGACGGCUGGCGAUGAUCUUUAUCGAUUGUCGUCAGUUGCCAGAACGUUUACUUUGAGAAAAUUAGAGUGCUAAAAGCAGGCUCACGCCUAUAUAUAUUGCAUGGAAUAAUGAAAUAAGAUCUCGAUUUUAUUUCGUUGGUUUUAGAAAUUGAGAUAAUGAUUAAUAGGAUCAGAGGGGGGCGUACGUACUGUGGUGUGAGAGGUGAAAUUCUUGGAUCGCCACAGGACGAACAGCAGCGAAGGCGUUCGCCAAGAAUGUUUUCAUUA